RNAcentral lists this unclassified non-coding RNA (1068 nucleotides) under Hevea brasiliensis (rubber tree). The record is from RNAcentral. Lineage: Eukaryota; Viridiplantae; Streptophyta; Magnoliopsida; Malpighiales; Euphorbiaceae.
GCCAAUAUUAAAUUUAACGUUUAAUUUCGUAUUAAUACAAGAAAUCAGUAUAGAGUAAUUCAUCAUUCACAAUCACUUGGGAAUAAUUUUACAUCUACGAAGCUAAAAGAAAGACUAAUGCGCAAAAUCUAAUCAAGGCGAAGAAAUACAUUAAAGUUUAAAGCCAAAGCAAUAUAAAUGAAUAUCGAUAGGCACAAAGUUAUCAAUUGCCAGCGCUCUUGCUGGGUUCAGCAUCUGCUGCAGAACUGUAAGCAACAUCAGCCGCGGUGGUGUCCAUGUCAUUAAGACCCAACUCCUCGUUUUGCUCCCACGAUCUAACGUACUCUUCAAAUGUCAACUGUUUGUCAUCCUUGAGAUCAUCAGUCGCAGGAGCAACAAAAGAAUUUGCAAGUGCAUCAUCGAUGAUCAAUGUCCACGGUUGUUUCAAGCUCAAAAGCUUGUCUAGUCUUGCUCGGAAAUCCAACCACUUGCUCUUCCUGUCUUCCUCAAGACUGUCACCAAAUGUGAAUCCAUGCACUCUCUCAAGACUUUCGCUAAUCUUUGUGAUUAAACCCUCAACUGUCGUCACCAUUCCACCCAAAGUGCCACUAGUAAGCUCUAAUUCAAGCUCAGGAAUUUCUACUCCAGCACUAUCCGACUUAAUCACAUCACGGCUUAGAUCUUUAAUGUUUUCCACAUGAAGUGUAAUUUUCUUUCCCUUUUCAGAUAUAGGACCACCAGGUUUCAGCUCAGAGUUGCGAUAACCACAAGCAUCACAAGAGGAUGCCAUAACUAUUACUUCUUGAAAGUAUGGUAUAUUGGUAACAAACAUUUUACAAUCACACUUCGCCAUACAUGCUCCACAAGUUGAUGGAAACACCAUCACCUCUUCAGGAGCUGAAUAUCGAAAUAGAGCUUCAGCCAUUUCUGCACUGUUACCCUGAGCAAUAGCCUGACGUCCCGCUCUUGCUCCAACUGAUCCGUGUGGUUCAUUUAGCAGUCGAUCAGGAACAUUAUUUAUCCCCUCAUUGGAUACCUCAUCACUUUGUCCUCCAAGCUGUGAUGGGUCAGCAAUAUACCCUAAAGCUG